This is a long non-coding RNA of Setaria italica (foxtail millet), 592 nucleotides long. RefSeq lists it as uncharacterized. NCBI's taxonomy places the organism in Eukaryota, Viridiplantae, Streptophyta, Magnoliopsida, Poales, Poaceae. The transcript is spliced from 2 exons. The record is from RefSeq and is a predicted model, not a curated record.
CUUUGAACGUACAUGUUCCUUCAUCAACGUUUCCUAUAAAUAGACUAACAUCCAAGAUAGCCACACAGCCAGCAUCCAUUGAACGCAAAAGAAACAAUACAGUAGUAGGGCUUAUAUCUUGGUGGUAACUGUUACUGAAGGUGUCGCUUUGAGCAGCUGUGAAGAUGAGCUCUCCAGCUGACAGUAAGGCAUGCGAUGCUCCCAAGACGGAGUGGCCUGAACUUGUGGGCUGCACAAUUAAGGUGGCAAAAGAGAGGAUUAAGGCGGACCGGCCAGACCUCAAUGUUGUGGUCACCCCUAUUGGCACCAUGGUGGACCAAAUGAUCGACCCAAAUCGCGUUCGUCUUCGGGUUGAUACUGUGGCUGAGGUUCCGAAGAUUGGCUAAAGUGGAAUAUAAUGGUCCAAGCGUGGCCUGUGUUAUGUUGAAACAGUAAUUAAAUAAGAAAACAUGCAUGUUGUGGCAUGUUUGUUUCUAUAUGAAUGUUGCAUGCACAUUAAUAUAUUAUGUGCUUUGUUGCCAACUAUGUAAGAGAUGUGUGUACUUUGCAUUAUCAUUUAUCAAUAAAGGUCAGCAAUCAAAUUGAAUUGAUA